Molecule: ribosomal RNA, 440 nt
Filed under: uncultured bacterium
Lineage: Bacteria
Description: partial 16S ribosomal RNA
Rfam family: Bacterial small subunit ribosomal RNA
Source: RNAcentral
CCUACGGGGGGCAGCAGUGGGGAAUAUUGCACAAUGGGGGAAACCCUGAUGCAGCGACGCCGCGUGAGUGAAGAAGUAUUUCGGUAUGUAAAGCUCUAUCAGCAGGGAAGAAAAUGACGGUACCUGAUUAAGAAGCCCCGGCUAACUACGUGCCAGCAGCCGCGGUAAUACGGAGGGGGCAAGCGUGAACCGGAUUUACUGGGUGGAAAGGGAGCGGAGACGGCAGCACAAGUCUGGAGUGAAAUGCCGGGGCUUAACCCCGGAAAUGCUUUGGAAACUGUGCAGCUAGAGUGCAGGAGAGGUAAGUGGAAUUCCUAGUGUAGCGGUGAAAUGCGUAGAUAUUAGGAGGAACACCAGUGGCGAAGGCGGCUUACUGGACUGUAACUGACGUUGAGGCUCGAAAGCGUGGGGAGCAAACAGGAUUAGAUACCCUGGUAGUC